Molecule: small RNA, 111 nt
Filed under: Arabidopsis thaliana (thale cress)
Lineage: Eukaryota; Viridiplantae; Streptophyta; Magnoliopsida; Brassicales; Brassicaceae
Description: ATSL250720
Source: RNAcentral
GGGUUACAGAAAUGUGAUGGAGAAUUGCAGAGAGAAUAUGAUCGUCCUAAGGGAAGGACUUGAGAAGACAGAAAGGUUCAACAUCGUCUCAAAGGACGAGGGAGUGCCACU